UACGUAGGGUGCGAGCGUUAAUCGGAAUUACUGGGCGUAAAGCGUGCGCAGGCGGUUCUGAAAGUCAGCUGUGAAAGCCCCGGGCUUAACCUGGGAACUGCGGUUGAAACUACAGGACUAGAAUCUGGCAGAGGGGGGUGGAAUUCCACGUGUAGCAGUGAAAUGCGUAGAGAUGUGGAGGAACACCGAUGGCGAAGACAGCCCCCUGGGCUGAGAUUGACGCUCAGGCACGAAAGCGUGGGGAGCAAACAGG
RNAcentral lists this ribosomal RNA (253 nucleotides) under uncultured bacterium. RNAcentral's name for it is "partial 16S ribosomal RNA". It matches the Rfam family "Bacterial small subunit ribosomal RNA", at positions 524 to 776 of the family's 1533-position model. The record is from RNAcentral.